AAGGUCUGUGCAGGAGAGAUCGGUUCAUCCCGGCGCCGAAGGAGCAACCCCCCGGAAACUCUCAGGCAAAUGAACUGCACUAUGGAC
Molecule: non-coding RNA, 87 nt
Filed under: Boseongicola aestuarii
Lineage: Bacteria; Pseudomonadati; Pseudomonadota; Alphaproteobacteria; Rhodobacterales; Paracoccaceae
Description: Glycine sequence
Rfam family: Glycine riboswitch aptamer
About the family: This family represents the bacterial glycine riboswitch. Glycine riboswitches usually consist of two metabolite-binding aptamers domains with similar structures in tandem. The aptamers cooperatively bind glycine to regulate the expression of downstream genes.
Source: Rfam by way of RNAcentral